Molecule: ribosomal RNA, 501 nt
Filed under: uncultured bacterium
Lineage: Bacteria
Description: partial 16S ribosomal RNA
Rfam family: Bacterial small subunit ribosomal RNA
Source: RNAcentral
AUUGAACGCUGGCGGCAGGCUUAACACAUGCAAGUCGAGCGGGGGAAGGUAGCUUGCUACCGGACCUAGCGGCGGACGGGUGAGUAAUGCUUAGGAAUCUGCCUAUUAGUGGGGGACAACAUCUCGAAAGGGAUGCUAAUACCGCAUACGUCCUACGGGAGAAAGCAGGGGAUCUUCGGACCUUGCGCUAAUAGAUGAGCCUAAGUCGGAUUAGCUAGUUGGUGGGGUAAAGGCCUACCAAGGCGACGAUCUGUAGCGGGUCUGAGAGGAUGAUGCGCCACACUGGGACUGGAACACGGCCCAGACUCCUACGGGAGGCAGCAGUGGGGAAUAUUGGACAAUGGGGGGAACCCUGAUCCAGCCAUGCCGCGUGUGUGAAGAAGGCCUUAUGGUUGUAAAGCACUUUAAGCGAGGAGGAGGCUACUUUAGUUAAUACCUAGGGAUAGUGGACGUUACUCGCAGAAUAAGCACCGGCUAACUCUGUGCCAGCCGCCGCAGUAA